Molecule: small nucleolar RNA, 143 nt
Organism: Rattus norvegicus (Norway rat)
Lineage: Eukaryota; Metazoa; Chordata; Mammalia; Rodentia; Muridae
Product: small nucleolar RNA SNORA48
Source: Ensembl
CCCCCCUGACAAUGGGCAAAGAGAUCCCUUGUUCAUGGUGUUGUUCUUAUAUUAGUCAGGACCAGAGUAGACGGCAUCUCUUUGAUCAUCAUAGCUUGAUGGCUGGCUUGGUGGCAAAGCUGUUUUAUGACUAGGACACAGAA